CAAGGGACCAAGCAUUCAUUAU
Molecule: microRNA, 22 nt
Filed under: Homo sapiens (human)
Lineage: Eukaryota; Metazoa; Chordata; Mammalia; Primates; Hominidae
Description: hsa-miR-4475
Source: miRBase by way of RNAcentral